UUCCAGAUUCUUCUUCUUCUUCCUCCAUCACCUAAUCUUCUUCAACCUCUAACAACUGAACCAAGCCUCUCUUCAAUUCCUUCAACAACCGUAACAAACUCACAAAACCGUUAAUCACCACUUCAACCUCCUCUUUCUUCUUCAAAGAACCACUAUCGCUAUCGAAUCCAACCCUCACCAACCACCACCGUGAUCCAAUUUCUUCAUUCGUCACCCUCCGU
RNAcentral lists this long non-coding RNA (221 nucleotides) under Lathyrus oleraceus (garden pea). RNAcentral's name for it is "Pisum sativum (pea) long non-coding RNA (PSAT_LNC025675)". Lineage: Eukaryota; Viridiplantae; Streptophyta; Magnoliopsida; Fabales; Fabaceae. The record is from RNAcentral.